Molecule: long non-coding RNA, 736 nt
Organism: Epinephelus fuscoguttatus (brown-marbled grouper)
Lineage: Eukaryota; Metazoa; Chordata; Actinopteri; Perciformes; Serranidae
Exons: 3
Source: RefSeq, a predicted model, not a curated record
UUAGACACUGCUGUUGAUUAUGUGAGUACAAUUUUUUAUUUUUUUUAAAGACUGCAAUUGUUUUGUAUCCAAUCAUACGGAUGUGGACAGCUCGUCCAGCCUGUGGUCACACUGUGUGCGACAUGAUCAACAAGUCAGCAGAAGAGUUCGCACAGAGCCCAUCAGCCUUGAUCAUCGGGGCAUCCCAGAGGUGAAGUUGGUUUUCCUUGCAAAGUGAAGGCAUGACCUGAGGCCUGUACUACGGAGCAGGAUUUGGAGUUAGCGAGGUUAACUUCAGAGUGUCGGAUCACAGCCUGUCAACACCCCGACCUCUGACCAAUCAGAUCACUGAAGAAAAAAGUAUCCAUGGAUAAAAGUCUGGAAUCUCAGAUAAAAAAAGUAACCUAGAGGUAAGUAGUAAUACUAGGUCAUUUUGUUGUUUCAGGGCUCUGUUUCCACUGGUUUUAAAACAGAGCUUCUAACAAACACAGGGAUUGUUUACACACUAAACACAUGACCUCUGCUGUAUUUCAACUUAUGCAAUGUUUAUUUCAGUCUGCAGUGACACGAUGCUAUUUUACACUCUGAUUCCAUCACUGCAGCUCAGAAUGACAUGAGACACAUGUGUGGUGAGAACUAGGAUAAGACGGAUAAUAUUUUAUCAGUAAAAUUAUCCAUACACUGAUAUUUGGCUCCCAUUAUUAUAUAAAUGCAAUAUUUUGGUCAGAUAGACCUCAUCAGUCAUUAACUAGCCUAC